AUUCUCAUUGGUAGUCUCAGACGCCGGUCAAUGGGAGUUGGAGUAAGCAAGUGACUGUAAGGGAGCGGCCGUGGGCUGUGGCUUCAAGCCCCGCCCCUCGGCAGUUGGUUGGUGUGUGUGGGCGGGAUCUUAUCUGUAAGUGGCUGUCCUAGACGCCCGUCGGCAAGUGCGACUGGCCAGCGAAAUCUCUGGGCUGCCGGUGGUGACCUCGGAGUUUCGUGCCUCGGGUUAGAGUUCACGCGCGUCAACGUCCUCUGGGAACAGCCGCGACUGGAGGCAUGGUGUCUGGGGGCUGGAGAGAUGGCUCAGAGGUUAAGAGCAUGGACUGCUCUUCCAGAGGUCCUGAGUUCAAUUCCCAGCAACCACGUGGUGGCUCACAACCAUCUGUAAAGAGAUCUGAUACCCUCUUCUGGUAUGUCUGAAGACAGCUACAGUGUACUUGUAUAUGAUAAAUAAAUAAAUCUUUUAAAAAAAAUAAAA
This is a long non-coding RNA of Rattus norvegicus (Norway rat), 480 nucleotides long. RefSeq lists it as uncharacterized. Lineage: Eukaryota; Metazoa; Chordata; Mammalia; Rodentia; Muridae. The record is from RefSeq and is a predicted model, not a curated record.